CUUAUUUGAAAUUUUUUUAUAAUUAGCAUUUUUAUUGUUAUGAGAUGAUAAAACAUAAAUAGUACUUUACUCGUGACUUCUAUUUUUAAUUUUUUUAAAAAAGUUUUCAAAUAAGACGAACGGUCAAAGUUGGGCGCCGAAAACCAUGGCUGCACUUAUU
Molecule: microRNA precursor, 160 nt
Organism: Oryza rufipogon (brownbeard rice)
Lineage: Eukaryota; Viridiplantae; Streptophyta; Magnoliopsida; Poales; Poaceae
Rfam family: MIR812 microRNA precursor family
Source: Rfam